UAGUCCACGCCGUAAACGAUGUCUACUAGCCGUUGGGAGACUUGAUUUCUUAGUGGCGCAGCUAACGCACUAAGUAGACCGCCUGGGGAGUACGGCCGCAAGGUUAAAACUCAAAUGAAUUGACGGGGGCCCGCACAAGCGGUGGAGCAUGUGGUUUAAUUUGAAGCAACGCGCAGAACCUUACCAACCCUUGACAUAUGUAUCGCGAUUUCCUGAGAAGGAUUUCUUCAGUUCGGCUGGAUACAAUACAGGUGCCGCGUGGCUGUCGUCAGCUCGUGUCGUGAGAUGUUCGGUUAAGUCCGGCAACGAGCGCAACCCACGUCCCUAGUUGCCAUCAUUCAGUUGGGCACUCUAUGGAAACCGCCGGUGAUAAGCCGGAGGAAGGUGUGGAUGAUGUCAAGUCCUCAUGGCCCUUACGGGUUGGGCUACACACGUGCUACAAUGGCGAUGACAAUGGGUUAAUCCCAAAAAAUCGUCUCAGUUCGGAUUGGGGUCUGCAACUCGACCCCA
This 510-nucleotide ribosomal RNA is filed under the name uncultured bacterium. RNAcentral describes it as "bacterial SSU rRNA". It matches the Rfam family "Bacterial small subunit ribosomal RNA", at positions 791 to 1320 of the family's 1533-position model. The record is from RNAcentral.